UCGACAAAGAAGCUCCCGAGACGGUGUACAUGGCGCCUUGGAAGCCCACGCCCUCAGCGGAGGCCAACACAGACUCCACCAAGUACCGAGGGCUCCACGAGCCACCAAAGCGACGCCCUCAAGAGGGGAAUGACACAGACGCGUCGCCAUCACCCGAUCCGAAUGCCGGACCUAAUUUCCCCUGGUGCUCGGGGCGGGGAAGCACGGGUAGCACGAUGACGACGCCUCCAAGGAGGUGACGGCGCCCGCAGGCGUCGCCGUCGUCCGCUUCACGCAGGGAUUUCGCCCCGGCCAUGCCGUCGACCCCAACGC
Molecule: long non-coding RNA, 312 nt
Filed under: Hordeum vulgare
Lineage: Eukaryota; Viridiplantae; Streptophyta; Magnoliopsida; Poales; Poaceae
Description: long non-coding RNA (HVUL_LNC019674)
Source: RNAcentral